This 351-nucleotide ribosomal RNA is filed under the name uncultured bacterium. RNAcentral's name for it is "bacterial SSU rRNA". It matches the Rfam family "Bacterial small subunit ribosomal RNA", at positions 28 to 355 of the family's 1533-position model. The record is from RNAcentral.
GACGAACGCUGGCGGCGUGCUUAACACAUGCAAGUCGAACGAGAAGAGAUGAGAAGCUUGCUUCUUAUCAAUUCGAGUGGCAAACGGGUGAGUAACGCGUAAGCAACCUGCCCUUCAGAUGGGGACAACAGCUGGAAACGGCUGCUAAUACCGAAUACGUUCUCUUUAUCGCAUGGUAGAGGGAAGAAAGGGAGGCUCUUCGGAGCUUUCGCUGGAGAGGGGCUUGCGUCUGAUUAGCUAGUUGGAGGGGUAACGGCCCACCAAGGUCGACGAUGCGUAGGGGUUCUGAGAGGAAGGUCCCCCANAUUGGAACUGAGACACGGUCCAAAACGUCCUACGGGAGGCAGCAGU